AUCUGUAAUAUGCAUUUAUAUUUCAUGUGGUUCCCUAUAGACCAUGAUGGACAGAGAAAAGCACCUUCCUUACGUGAAAAGUAUCAACUCGUUUCUGCUCUUCAGCAUUGUGGAGAAGGUUCUUUAACAGCUGCAGAAAAAUCAAGAAGACCCACAGGCAAAUUUCGAAGAAUGCAUGGCUAAUUUACAAACAAGGGGGAAACAGAACGUUGAGAAACUCAGCGGCUCCAAAGACUGCAGUAGAUGGGAAACAAUUCGGAAAGCGGCCUCCACGACUUUCAGAGAGCGCGUGCCUCGUUCGGCCUCCUACGCAGAAACCCACAGCAGAAUGUGCGCGGCGAACACGUGGCCGCGCUGCCGUCGCUUCCCCCGAGUCCUUCCACGCACAGGAGGGUCCUUGACCAAGCACAGGAGGGUCCCAUCGCACACAGGACGGCUCCUCUGCUGGGCUCCUUCGCGAUGCUCAGGGAUCUCAAGACGGAGCAUGUUGGAGAAGCAAGUGGUCAUCACAAGGCCCCUGGGUCCACGGAGGAACCUCUGCAGGAGAUUCUGAAAAUACACUCUCACAUACUCAACUGACUGGAUGAGAAUGCAUCCGGCCGGACGAAGGAGAAGCAAACCCACAGAAAGAAAUCCCCACAAACUGUCUUCCAGAAUGACCACGCCGCAGCCUCCCAAGGUCGCCUGAUCCCCUCCGACUCUGUAACAAGCACG
RNAcentral lists this long non-coding RNA (714 nucleotides) under Bos mutus (wild yak). RNAcentral describes it as "lncRNA (ENSBMUG00000005345.1)". Lineage: Eukaryota; Metazoa; Chordata; Mammalia; Artiodactyla; Bovidae. The record is from RNAcentral.